RNAcentral lists this small nuclear RNA (190 nucleotides) under Castor canadensis (American beaver). Its description in RNAcentral is "U2 spliceosomal RNA (ENSCCNG00000009870.1)". It matches the Rfam family "U2 spliceosomal RNA". Rfam says of the family: U2 is a small nuclear RNA (snRNA) component of the spliceosome (involved in pre-mRNA splicing). Complementary binding between U2 snRNA (in an area lying towards the 5' end but 3' to hairpin I) and the branchpoint sequence (BPS) of the intron results the bulging out of an unpaired adenosine, on the BPS, which initiates a nucleophilic attack at the intronic 5' splice site, thus starting the first of two transesterification reactions that mediate splicing. The record is from Rfam by way of RNAcentral. Lineage: Eukaryota; Metazoa; Chordata; Mammalia; Rodentia; Castoridae.
AUUGCUUCUCGGCCUUUUGGCUAAGAUCAAGUGUAGUAUCUGUUCCUAUCAGUUUAAUAGCUGAUACAUCUCUAUCCGAGGACAAUACAUUAAAUGGAUUUUUGGGAGCAGGAGAUGGAAUAGGAGCUUGCUCCAUCUACUCCACGCAUCGGCCUGGUAUCGCAGUACCUCCAGGAUCGGUGCACAAAAA